GGCCCAGUGGUACUCGGAGUGCGUCUGCUUAUAAUUUGAGGUUGCAGAAGUCUAUGCAGAACAUCCUGGUUCGACUCCGGGAUGGGUCG
Mycena galericulata is the source of this 89-nucleotide non-coding RNA. Lineage: Eukaryota; Fungi; Basidiomycota; Agaricomycetes; Agaricales; Mycenaceae. The record is from the annotation of a GenBank genome assembly.